AUUGAACGCUGGCGGCAUGCCUUACACAUGCAAAUCGAACGGUAACGGGCCUUCGGGUGCCGACGAGUGGCGAGCGGGUGAGUAAUACAUCGGAACGUGCCCGAUCGUGGGGGAUAACGAGGCGAAAGCUUUGCUAAUACCGCAUACGAUCUACGGAUGAAAGCAGGGGACCGCAAGGCCUUGCGCGGACGGAGCGGCCGAUGGCAGAUUAGGUAGUUGGUGGGAUAAAAGCUUACCAAGCCGACGAUCUGUAGCUGGUCUGAGAGGAUGAUCAGCCACACUGGGACUGAGACACGGCCCAGACUCCUACGGGAGGCAGCAGUGGGGAAUUUUGGACAAUGGGCGCAAGCCUGAUCCAGCCAUGCCGCGUGCAGGAUGAAGGCCUUCGGGUUGUAAACUGAUUUUGUACGGAACGAAAAGCCUUCUUUUAAUACAGGAGGGUCAUGACGGUACCGUAAGAAUAAGCACCGGCUAACUACGUG
Molecule: ribosomal RNA, 482 nt
Filed under: uncultured bacterium
Lineage: Bacteria
Description: partial 16S ribosomal RNA
Rfam family: Bacterial small subunit ribosomal RNA
Source: RNAcentral